Molecule: ribosomal RNA, 324 nt
Filed under: uncultured eukaryote
Lineage: Eukaryota
Description: partial 18S ribosomal RNA
Rfam family: Eukaryotic small subunit ribosomal RNA
Source: RNAcentral
CCCUUAGAUGUUCUGGGCCGCACACGCGCUACACUGAAGGAGGCAGCGUGUACUCCUGGAUCGAAAGAUUUGGGUAACCCGCGAAUCUCCUUCGUGCUAGGGAUUGAGGUUUGCAAUUAUCCUUCAUGAACGAGGAAUUCCCAGUAAGUGCAAGUCAUAAGCUUGCGCUGACUACGUCCCUGCCCUUUGUACACACCGCCCGUCGCUACUACCGAUUGAAUGGUCCGGUGAAGCCUCGGGAUUGUGGUUCUUGCCGCUUUAUUGUGGCGUGACCGCGAGAACUUGUCUAAACCUUAUCAUCUAGAGGAAGGUGAAGUCGUAACA